GGGCUCGCAGGCGGUUUCUUAAGUCUGAUGUGAAAGCCCCCGGCUCAACCGGGGAGGGUCAUUGGAAACUGGGGAACUUGAGUGCAGAAGAGGAGAGUGGAAUUCCACGUGUAGCGGUGAAAUGCGUAGAGAUGUGGAGGAACACCAGUGGCGAAGGCGACUCUCUGGUCUGUAACUGACGCUGAGGAGCGAAAGCGUGGGGAGCGAACAGGAUUAGAUACCCUGGUAGUCCACGCCGUAAACGAUGAGUGCUAAGUGUUAGGGGGUUUCCGCCCCUUAGUGCUGCAGCUAACGCAUUAAGCACUCCGCCUGGGGAGUACGGUCGCAAGACUGAAACUCAAAGGAAUUGACGGGGGCCCGCACAAGCGGUGGAGCAUGUGGUUUAAUUCGAAGCAACGCGAAGAACCUUACCAGGUCUUGACAUCCUCUGACAAUCCUAGAGAUAGGACGUCCCCUUCGGGGGCAGAGUGACAGGUGGUGCAUGGUUGUCGUCAGCUCGUGUCGUGAGAUGUUGGGUUAAGUCCCGCAACGAGCGCAACCCUUGAUCUUAGUUGCCAGCAUUCAGUUGGGCACUCUAAGGUGACUGCCGGUGACAAACCGGAGGAAGGUGGGGAUGACGUCAAAUCAUCAUGCCCCUUAUGACCUGGGCUACACACGUGCUACAAUGGACAGAACAAAGGGCAGCGAAACCGCGAGGUUAAGCCAAUCCCACAAAUCUGUUCUCAGUUCGGAUCGCAGUCUGCAACUCGACUGCGUGAAGCUGGAAUCGCUAGUAAUCGCGGAUCAGCAUGCCG
RNAcentral lists this ribosomal RNA (794 nucleotides) under Bacillus subtilis. RNAcentral describes it as "bacterial SSU rRNA". It matches the Rfam family "Bacterial small subunit ribosomal RNA", at positions 565 to 1359 of the family's 1533-position model. Lineage: Bacteria; Bacillati; Bacillota; Bacilli; Caryophanales; Bacillaceae. The record is from RNAcentral.